CGGGGACCACCCUCGAUACCCAACCCAACCUCUAAACACAUACCCUGAUUCGAAUGAAUUUUAAACAUAUAUCAAGAUAAAAUAUUUGUAUAUAUACUGACUUUGGGAUAAGUAUACUUCCUAAACUAACCCAACCAAGUCAAUCCAUCCAAUAACCAACCAAACCAAGAUAAUAACCCAAUUUAUUUAUAUAUAAUCCAAAAGAAAAUGGAAUAAUCAUACAUCAAAUAUAAUCCACCGAUGUCAGCCCCAAUACCAAUGCCAAUGCCAAGGCUGACACCAUUACCAACAC
RNAcentral lists this long non-coding RNA (292 nucleotides) under Capsicum annuum. RNAcentral's name for it is "long non-coding RNA (CANN_LNC000707)". Lineage: Eukaryota; Viridiplantae; Streptophyta; Magnoliopsida; Solanales; Solanaceae. The record is from RNAcentral.